UUUGGGUCCAAUUGUUAAAUUUUCAAACGUCAUUUUACUUCUUGGCUUCUUGCACAUCAUAGUACUUUGAUUUAUCCUCAGCACAUAGUGUUUAGAUGAUUUGUUAGAGCAGGUUAUGGUUCGGUUUAAUGUGGUAUCAGUUAUGUGUUGGUAGAUAGCGGUAUUUGGGGUAUAAGCCAUUGUAGAUACGAGAUAAGUAUCGAGAAGAUAUGGGUAGGACGAGAUCUAGUAUGUUUAGAUUCUCUUGUAUCACGUAUAUAUAUAAGCGUUACUCUGAUGAAUAACAACACACAACAUUCUCAACAUAUUCUUCCUAGUUUACAUGGUCUCAGAGCGAUAAGAUCCUUUGACAUAAUUUACUACAACUACUACUAUACCGAUGUUGGGUCCUCUGUGGAUGUUAUUCCCACAUUGUCCACGCUUCAGACCUAGAUGUCUGAGCGUGAGGGAGGGUAUUGAUGAGAAACAUCUCACAUCAGAAAUAUAUGAAUUAAUCUACUACUAUAUAAAGAGUUAGGGUCAAUCCACUCAUCGCCAAUUGGUUUUAAGUUGGAAGCCCAAGAAACUUAACAUGGUAUCGGUUAUGUGUUGGUAGAUAGCGUUACUUGGGGUAUAAGCCAUUAUAGAUACGAGAUAAGUAUCGAGAAGAUAUGGGUAGAAGGAGAUCUAGUAUGUUUAGAUUCUCUUGUAUCACGUAUAUAUGUAAGCGUUACUCUGAUGAAUAACAACACACAACAUUCUCAACAUAUUCUUCCUAGUUUACAUGAUUCACCGUAAAAACAUUUUUCUUUUGAGAAAAGACUUUGCAUACACAAAAUAAUCUAGAAGGCAGUUGUUUUUUGGGCUUGUCCCAUUACAUCAAGUUGAUAAUUAAACAUUAGGACGGGUCUGGCCCCAUUUGAACUACAAAUAAACACAAUUACAUAUAGAGAAACUGAAAAGGUGAUUGACCCUGAGUCAGUGAUUGCGAAAGGAAGGAGAUCAUGCUUAGUCAUCGAGCCAAAUUUGAAUCAUCUUGGAGACCGAAGAGAGAGAUGGGUUGCAGAGCAAAAGCUGGAGAUAUGAUUUAUGAUGAGAACAUCUGCUUGCUUCGAGAUGGAAGAGGUGGUGCGGAAUUUUUGGCGGUGAAGCCUACUAUUUCGCUCAAACCAAAGAAGGUAGAUCGUCGCUUGCCAUGCUACCUGAGUUAGAAGUUUAUGAUGUUUACAUUUGGCAUGCAAACUGGUCCAUAAGCCCAAUUCCUUGUUGGUGUCCAGUUUUUUUUUCUCGUCAAAUCUUACCAUAAGUUCUAAGAGAAUGGGCAUUCAAAGUAGAGGACAACUAUUCAGAACUGUUUGCCAAGUGAGAAAAUUACACCGUGGAAUCCCUCUGGAUAACCAAACCCCCUUAUGCCAAGGUAUUGGAAGUUGAUGGAUUUUGAUUGCAUUGUAGAUCAUCCCAGUUGAGUACAACGAUUUAUGAGUUCCUAAAGGUGACCAUUCGAAGAUGUAUUUCUCCAAAAUAAGAAUGAUGGUGGAGAGGUAGACGUGAAGAGAUAGUUGUGUUUCAGAGUUCAGACCAUGGAUGAGGGAGUAGCCAGCUUCCUCGUUGAUAUAGAUCAUGGAGGGUCAUUUUCUGUCGAAUACCAAGGCUUUAAGAUGCAGGGAGGUCAAAAUAGAAUAGAAUUUCAAGUUCUCAGACGGACUCCAGCGGUCUGACCAGAACCUAGUGUUCCUUCCAUUUCGAGGUAUUGUUUUUAUCCAGUUGUAAGCAUAAUCUCGUAAGAUAUUUUUAGUCGAUGAGGAGUGAGUUUGUUUUUUCUUAAUGAUCCACAUGUUGCUUAUGUUACAUGAGAGGAUGUUUUUGAUGAACCAAGCAAUCCAAAUAGAGCAUGCUUUGGAAAAAAGAAUCCAUAUCAACUUGAUUGAGCAAGAUUUAUUCCAAGAUACCAACUCUCUGAUCCCAAGACUUCCUUCUGACUUCGCUAAGGUUGUUGAACCCCACAUGAGAAGACGAAAGUUUUAGAGAUGCUGAUUGAGGGUACAAAGAGCUGUUUGAAGUCAUUCAGAACCUCAAGGACGUUUUGAACUGAACGGAAUGAUCCAUCAUAAAAUACUAACAAGUUAUCUGCAAAGCAAAGGAAAAAAAAAGGUCUCUCUGCCUGAGUCCUCUUGUACUUUUGGAGAAGCCUUGGACUGUUCCACUUAAUCUUAUCAUAAAACUUGGCGAAGUAAUACAAAAAUGGACCCACUUGAUGAAUUAAGAAGGCAGAUUAAUCCCACGGAGACAAUUGAAGAUAAAGUCCCAAUUGACUGUAUCAAAAGCUUUGACAAUGUCUAUUUUAAUGGAUAAGGUAUAGAAGUAGAUGUUGGACCCAAUUUCGGUCAAUAUGUAAAUGGGCCACGAUCAACUGAAUGGGCCGCGAAGAGUUGAAGCCCACUGCAAGCACUCGAGCUCCAAACGGAGACUUCGAAGACCCGGAGAUCGCGGAACGGCUGCUGAGAUUGCGGAGCAGUUGCGAACAUCAUGAGGGCAGCAUGCUAUAACAAGAAGUCGACGCAUAAAGAAGAGACACGUUGAAAAUCCUAGAGAGAGCUACACCCACACUUCGACCUUGUAUUCAUCCAUCUUUAGAUUUUUUCUCUUAAGCGAUCUCGUUGUAACAUUCGAUCUUGUUUUACUCAUUGUAUCCGAUCUUAUUCAUCAAUAACGUCCAUUUUUACCUA
Long non-coding RNA from Brassica napus (rape), 2705 nucleotides. RefSeq lists it as uncharacterized. Lineage: Eukaryota; Viridiplantae; Streptophyta; Magnoliopsida; Brassicales; Brassicaceae. The transcript is spliced from 5 exons. The record is from RefSeq and is a predicted model, not a curated record.